Molecule: unclassified non-coding RNA, 17 nt
Filed under: Mus musculus (house mouse)
Lineage: Eukaryota; Metazoa; Chordata; Mammalia; Rodentia; Muridae
Description: oocyte_clustered_small_RNA316
Source: RNAcentral
UGAUGAGACUACUGCAG